This 460-nucleotide ribosomal RNA is filed under the name uncultured Porphyromonas sp. Its description in RNAcentral is "bacterial SSU rRNA". It matches the Rfam family "Bacterial small subunit ribosomal RNA", at positions 338 to 795 of the family's 1533-position model. The record is from RNAcentral. Lineage: Bacteria; Pseudomonadati; Bacteroidota; Bacteroidia; Bacteroidales; Porphyromonadaceae.
CCUACGUGAGGCUGCAGUGAGGAAUAUUGGUCAAUGGGCGAGAGCCUGAACCAGCCAAGUCGCGUGAAGGAUGACUGUCUUAUGGAUUGUAAACUUCUUUUAUACGGGAAUAACAAGAGUCACGUGUGGCUCCCUGCAUGUACCGUAUGAAUAAGCAUCGGCUAACUCCGUGCCAGCAGCCGCGGUAAUACGGAGGAUGCGAGCGUUUUCCGGAUUUAUUUGGUUUAAAGGGUGCUUAGGCGGCCUGUUAAGUCAGCGGUGAAAUCUAGGAGCUUAACUCCUAAAUUGCCAUUGAUACUGGCGGGCUUGAGUGUAGAUGAGGUAGGCGGAAUGCGUGGUGUAGCGGUGGAAUGCAUAGAUAUCACGCAGAACUCCGAUUGCGAAGGCAGCUUACUAAGGUACAACUGACGCUGAAGCACGAAAGCGUGGGUAUCAAACAGGAUUAGAUACCCUGGUAGUC